RNAcentral lists this long non-coding RNA (261 nucleotides) under Ricinus communis (castor bean). Its description in RNAcentral is "long non-coding RNA (RCOM_LNC000452)". Lineage: Eukaryota; Viridiplantae; Streptophyta; Magnoliopsida; Malpighiales; Euphorbiaceae. The record is from RNAcentral.
AUUUUUAGUUAAAAUACCCUCUUUUAAAAUUAAAUAUAUAUCCAUCCCCUCCAUAUAAUAGUCAUAUCAUUGAUUUAGAACGUUAUUUUAAAUUUUAUUCUAGGAUUUAUAUUAAUUUAUUAGGACCUAACUUUUAAUUAUCUUAGGAUUUAAUCUUUCUAGUAUGUUUAGGAUAGUUUAUUAUUUUUAAUUCUUUAUUUCUUUUUUCUUUUUAUAAUUAUCAAUGAUGUGUGUUCAAGUGUGCUUCUAAGGUUUGGAUGG